GUGGGGAAUAUUGGACAAUGGGCGAAAGCCUGAUCCAGCCAUGCCGCGUGUGUGAAGAAGGUCUUCGGAUUGUAAAGCACUUUAAGUUGGGAGGAAGGGCAGUAAGUUAAUACCUUGCUGUUUUGACGUUACCGACAGAAUAAGCACCGGCUAACUACGUGCCAGCAGCCGCGGUAAUACGUAGGGUGCAAGCGUUAAUCGGAAUUACUGGGCGUAAAGCGCGCGUAGGUGGUUUUGUAAGUUGGAGGUGAAAUCCCCGGGCUCAACCUGGGAACUGCCUCCAAAACUACUGAGCUAGAGUACGGUAGAGGGUAGUGGAAUUUCCUGUGUAGCGGUGAAAUGCGUAGAUAUAGGAAGGAACACCAGUGGCGAAGGCGACUACCUGGACUGAUACUGACACUGAGGUGCGAAAGCGUGGGGAGCAAACAGGAUUAGAUACCCUUGUAGUCC
This 450-nucleotide ribosomal RNA is filed under the name uncultured bacterium. RNAcentral describes it as "bacterial SSU rRNA". It matches the Rfam family "Bacterial small subunit ribosomal RNA", at positions 354 to 796 of the family's 1533-position model. The record is from RNAcentral.